RNAcentral lists this ribosomal RNA (529 nucleotides) under uncultured bacterium. Its description in RNAcentral is "partial 16S ribosomal RNA". It matches the Rfam family "Bacterial small subunit ribosomal RNA", at positions 28 to 523 of the family's 1533-position model. The record is from RNAcentral.
GAUGAACGCUGGCGGCGUGCCUAAUACAUGCAAGUCGAACGAAGCUUCUUUAUCACCGAGUGCUUGCACUCACCGAUAAAGAGUUGAGUGGCGAACGGGUGAGUAACACGUGGGCAACCUGCCCGAAAGAGGGGGAUAACACUUGGAAACAGGUGCUAAUACCGCAUAACCAUGAACACCGCAUGGUGUUUAUGUGAAAGGUGGUUUCGGCUACCGCUUUCGGAUGGGCCCGCGGCGCAUUAGCUAGUUGGUGGGGUAAAGGCUUACCAAGGCAAUGAUGCGUAGCCGAACUGAGAGGUUGAUCGGCCACAUUGGGACUGAGACACGGCCCAAACUCCUACGGGAGGCAGCAGUAGGGAAUCUUCCACAAUGGGCGAAAGCCUGAUGGAGCAACGCCGCGUGGGUGAAGAAGGUCUUCGGAUCGUAAAACCCUGUUGUCAGAGAAGAAAGUGCAUGAGAGUAACUGUUCAUGUUUCGACGGUAUCUGACCAGAAAGCCACGGCUAACUACGUGCCAGCCGCCGCAGUAA